Molecule: transfer RNA, 80 nt
Filed under: Rhizobium indigoferae
Lineage: Bacteria; Pseudomonadati; Pseudomonadota; Alphaproteobacteria; Hyphomicrobiales; Rhizobiaceae
Description: tRNA-Sec
Source: RNAcentral
CGCCACGUGGUCGAGGUACGGCACGAUUCCUUCAAGGUGUCGGAGUUCGUGGCGCUGCUUUCGAAAUACGGCGUGGCGCC